This 14878-nucleotide long non-coding RNA is filed under the name Gallus gallus (chicken). The record is from RNAcentral. Lineage: Eukaryota; Metazoa; Chordata; Aves; Galliformes; Phasianidae.
GCCCCCUUCGCCCCGCCCACCGCCGUUGCCAUGGCGGCGGCGCGGUCUGCUCGGAGCGGGCCGGGACGCCGCGCCCUGUGACCCCUCCCGGAGGCAGAGGAUGGCUGAGGUUGGAAAGCGCCUCCGGAGGUCAUGGAAUCCGCCCUCCUGCUCCCCUAGAGCGCGCUGUCCGGCACUGUGUCCAGGGAAGGAGAUUCCGUGGCCCUCUGCCGUCCGCCCCACACUGAGGCCUGAAAGAUUCCCCUUCCCAAGUGGCGCUGCGCGCACACUUCUGCUUUGCGUCCUUCCAGUCAAAGCUGUGUGACCCCCUGGGCUGCCUGUGACGGCCCGCUGUUCGGCGUCCCCCAGCCUUCCACCGAUGGCCAAAAGGCUCGAGAAAGCAGGAGCGUGCCCUGCCUGGGAGGAAGCACCAGAUAUUGAGAAUGAAAAGAAAGUGAAGCAUUCAGCUUUCCGAAGCAUUCAGCUCUGUGAAUAUACAUGAAUUAACCAGCACAGUGCAGGUAUAAUGGAAGGGCUUCCUGGUCAUUCUGGAGCAUCAGCAGCUGUACCUGGAUGUGAAUUGCACUGUGAUACAGAUAAGUUUUGCAUUAAUACUAUCCAUUUUUCAAUGUGUAAUGUUUUCAUAUUCAUACAAGUGAAGGGUUUAUGUUUUUGCUUGGUAUGUGUAACAGACACAUAUAACAGUUGCCUUAAAAACCUGUUGUUUGUCAAGAAAAAUUAGUUGAUCCGUUGAUCUGAAGUCACUCAUCUUGUUGAACCCAUUGCAAAGGGGCUCAGACUGAGGAAGCAGCUUCUGCCUCUUGCUGUACUGUUAGACUUGCUAGGUAAUUCUGGACACAUUGCUUAACCUUCCCAAAUCUGAGUUUAAUGAGCUGGAUAUGUACCACGCCAUAUGAUGCUUAUGCUCACGAAUAAAGCACUUGAGCUCUGUGAAUGAGAAGUGUUUCAGUUUGAGUUCUAAUCCUCCGUUCAUCAGUUGACAGAAUGCUUCCACUGUGUUUCCUUAUGUAGCGAGGUGUUCUCUGCUCUGAGAUAAACUUGCCUUUAUUUAGGAGACCUGAAGGAAAAACGAACAAACAAACAAAUGAUGCAUUUGCUAAUUUUUCUGAGAUUAAACAUUCAGUAGAACUCAACAAAUAUGUUUACUAGUUUAAUUGGAUUACAUUAAUAUACAUCCCCACAGCUUUUAUUACAUAAGCCCUUUUCUACCAGGGAUUUAGUCUAUUAGUUAAGGAAACCUGAGGGAUUAAUCUGAUAGCUGCAGUCAGAAAUUACAGUGUAAUUAAAGUCACCCAGGAAACAGUGAUACUGAAGUCUGCCAAUCCCUGCAAAACAAACUUGUCAAUUUUCUGCAUCUAGGAUAGCAUAUAAGGUGACACAUUAAAGGGGCACAAGUUCUGCACCAGAAAUAGGCCUGUUAAGGAGGAACUUGUGUACUGCACAGUGUAGCCAUCGCUGUUCUUGCUACCAACUACUGCUGUCUGUUUUUGAAUAGACUUUAAAGGUUUUGGUGUUUUAUUAAAGGUCAUGUACAGUGUGGGAGAGGAAGUAUAACACGGCUUGCACGGAAGUCUAUUUUAAAGCUUACUUUACUAAUUUAGUUGGACCGAGAUGUUACUUCAUGUCCAAAAGAAGAUAGAAAAUGCAAUGGCUGUAAAGAAGAAAGUUGCAGAGCACUGGAGCAGCCUUGUUAGUAGCAGGGAGAGACGUUUUGUCAUGGUCUGUACUUGUCAGUGUCAUUUGCUGCAAGCAGGGUAAUGGAGAGCAUGCAUCGGUGCAUGAGUGGAGGAGGAGAUCUGUUGUCUUCAUGAAUGGCAUCAAGGAACAGCACAGCAUUCCAGAAAUUCUGCAGAGUGUCAGUACUUGUGAUGUGUUUGAGCCAUUCUAAUAGCAUAAUAUACGCAGGAGAGAUUUAAUUUCACUAUAUCCAAAAUACACAGCAUUUGGUAUUUCUUUUGUUCUAUGAGACAUAAGUCUAAUGAUGCAUAUUCUAGUUAGUGCAACUUGCUAUCAAGGUUGUAAAGAAAUAAGCAACAAGAAGAAAAUAACGUAUGUAUUUUUUCUGUUGUCAGAGUAGACUUGUAUAUAUACUUCACAGCUUUGUCUUCUUGCUCUAAGUUGUAAAGUAACCUUCACAUAACAUUGUGUAAAUGGAAAAGUUCUCUGCCAGAAAGCUAAAGCCCAAUAUCUGUUGCUUGCAAAGCCACAGAGGGAACUACCCAUUGUUUCCUAGGAGGAGAUGGUGCAGCGACUUGCUGUGGCUUUAGCAAGAGGGCAAGGCUUUGUGAUAGAAGAUAAGCAAAGUAUGAUGACUUAAGUGGAGUGCUGAAGCUUUUACUGCAUCUGUCUUGUACAGUGUUGAAUAGAUUUUUAGGAACUUGCCAGUCAGGAGACCUGCCUUCGUGCUAAUGUGCAGACAUAGAGAAACUGCAUGAACAGAGGCAGGAAGCACUCAGAACAGAAAGGGAAAAUGAGCUACUGAUGCACACAGAGCUUUGCUUGGUAUAGCAGGCAAAGGAGGAUCCAGCAGGAACAGAAGAUAUCUCUUCUGUGCCUGAUCAGCCUGAGAAAAGUCCUUAACAAAACAAAGUGGCAGCCUGGAGAGUAUAAAACACAGGAAAUGAUGCAUUUCCAGUCCCACUUUUGCUUCUUUCUCAGCAGUCGCAGGGUGGGUGAGUAGGAGUUGCCUGUGCCAGCUCUGUGCAGCCUGGCAAAACUGGGGCCAGACCCGACGUUGUUGAGGCUGCUUCCACUUUUGUUUGUGAGGUGGAGGGAAGGACACCCUCUGUAAGUGUUGGUAUUAAUGCUUUUCUCUUAGUUAAUCUGUUUUGUUUGCUGCUGAGGCAUUUUACCUUCACCUCUAAAUUAUUUCAUUCUUCAUCAAAAUCCAAAGAAAACAGAGAUUCAAAGAAAGCACCCCUUAGAAUAGACUGAACGCUGAGUAUUAUUUGUAAGAUGUAUGAAACAGGAAACGGGAAGUUAGAAACAUUCAGGGAGUCGGUAUGCAUCCAAGUAGUCAAUGGUUCAGGGGGCAGAUAAACCAACACACCCCCACCCAGCACUGCAUGGCUACACCACCAGCAUUCAGGAAUUCUGACCUUUGCUAAAUCUUUAAUAUCUUUGGUUAUCAAACCCAAACUCGCUCACAUGCCAGAAGCAGUGUGGUACUGGGUAACCAUGUAGGUAAUUUUCAUGCUCAGAGAAGACAGCUCAUUUGUCAAACUGCGUCAGGUGAGAGUGCUCAGCAGGCCUGAAUUUCUGCAGAGAAAAAGGACCGGAUUCUCCUCCCUGUUGGCACCACCCAGUCUGAGUCAUACAGGCUGGAAGCAGUAGUACAGCUGCCAAACUUCCUCACCUAGAUCACGCUAUCUGCUAUAGGCUGCACUGGGAUUAUUGAGUGAGGUGUUUGGGUGUAGAAUUAAAAUACGUUGAGCACAGGAUUGUACUGUUGGGGAUUUUUCCACAAUGUUUCUUCUCCAGGAAAUGUUUUUCCUCUCUAGCAUUGCAGGGUAACAGUGUAAACGUUUGUUUUUGUUGGUUCAUUGCCAGACAAACGUAAGAACAUGUUGUAAAAGUCACAUUUUGCUGGAUUUCGUUUUAGAAUAGUAGAACUGUAGAAUGGCUUAAGUCAGAGGGAACCUUAAAGAUCAUCUAGCUUCAACUCCUCUGCCAUGGGCUGGCUGCCCCCACCAGCUCAGGGUGCCCAGGGCCCAUCCAACCCGGCCUUGGGCACCUCCAGGAAUGGGGCACCCACAGCUCUGGGCAGCAGUGCCAGGGCCUCACCAUCCCCUAAGCAAAGAAUUUCUUUGUAACAUCUAACCUAAAUCUCCCCUCUUUUAGUUUAAAUUCCGUGUAGAAUUUCAAGUGUGUUUGGCACCUGCCAUUCCAAAUACAGACAAAGUUAUAUGAUAGAACUCAGACUUUGUAAAUCGUAAUGGAUUUUGAUCACAGGAUAUGAUGCUACUUGGUCACAACAGCCCAGAUCCCUGUAGGACACAUACUUCCAUUGAUUUCACUGGAAGUUAGGGGCCACAGAGAACUCUGUGGUUCUUUUCCUACCAGCUGAAGUCAAUGAAACCACCUUUUGAAAAUGGGGUUCCAGAUAUUACAGUCUAGCAGACAAAGCUGGCUUAUCCCACAUUAAAUGUCACCUCUGAGAACGGAAUUUAAGUGAUGAUGGCGUAGUGGAAGUCUAAGACAGAGCCAAGGCCAGAGUGUAAAUUAUCUGAUGCCCAGCCCAAUGCAUGAACCACAGUGCUGAUGUUUGAUUACUGUGAGGUUGGAUACUGACUCUAUAAACAACAACUGCAGUUUUCAAAACUUACCCGCAGCAAAUGCAGAACCCUGCCUUGACAUGGUUUUCUGAUGGUAGAACUCUGCUUGCUGAAGUCUAUUUACACCUCAAAUUUUCCAAAAACAAGACUUCAAUUCCUCAUUGCUGUGAAGCAAGCAUUACUUUUAACAAAUUACUUAAUUGCUUUUCUAGCCAUUUCUUUUCCUGCAUUUCUUAAUUGAGUUUGUAUAGAAUAUUUCUACAUGAAUGAGUGCCUGAGGCAAGAUGAGGUCUGAGCAGAAACCUGUAUCUUGGUUUCCUAGUCAGUGGGAUGCAGGAGAGCCUACUGUGCUUCUGUUUAGGGAUAAGAACUUGGUUAAAGGCAUGCAACCCAACUCAUGUUUCCUUGUGCUUGCUUACAAGGAGAAUAUCAAGGUCUCAGACUGGAUAAUGAUGCAGAAAUGCACACUGACAGCGGUCCCAAUAGCCGGGCUCAUGGAAAGAAAGUCUCAGAUGUGAAUGAAGGAUGUGAGGCUGCAGCCAAAUUGAUUAGAAGCAAAGAACUCUCAGACAUCUGAAGUGUGCAAAGCAUAAAGCUGUCCUCUAAUUUCCCAGUUUUGGCAGUUUUGUUGCCACUUGAAGGUAAAGCUGGUAUUAAUCACUGGGGGGAAAAUGCAACCCUGCUCUCUUUGAUCUUUCCUCCUUUAAUCAACAGUUUCUAAGUGCAAUAAGACAUUUCAGAUGUUGCCAAUGUAUUUUUAUCUGGCAAUUGUUCAAUGCGUAUCCUAAAAUGGAGAGGUGCAUCUGCUGAAACACAGCAUGGUGCUUCUGGAGGAGGAAACCAUCUCCUUUCUGGCUUUGCACUGUUCAUUGGUCUGACAGCCUUGGAUAUCCAUGGAAAUGUAACUGUUCCUAAGAUGAAUCCUACACGUUGCACAGUUGCUCUGCUUCCUGUAACUCAUCUAAAUAUUGGUGACUAAUUAUUCUUGAGGAAACAUCCUUUCUCUGUGGAGUUAGCUUUGCAAGCAAAAGGACAUUAGAAGCAGCACCCUGACCAGGUCACUAGCCAGCCAGGAGAGAGCAGGGAUUGCAGGCAGGAGGUGGCAGCCUCGAGUAGCAGCACACUGCUUUCUCUGCUCAGCUAUGCUCAGACCUGAAUGCUAACAGGAGCAGGGUACAAACAGCUUGGGGUCUGGGUCCUUGCUUUAAGCACUGCAGCUUGAAGAUGGAAACCUAACUUUGUCCCUCGUGCCCACUAAUUAAAAACGUAGCUAAGCUGCUCUAUAGGUGCAGUGUUGGAGUUGUAUGGGUUUGCUCAGAAUUUUUAAUAUUUUGUUCAAUAUCUUCAGAGGGAAAGAAUGUAGCACUCUUUAUUUGAUCUGUCCCGUUCUCAUCUAGGUUUAUUUCUUCUUGCAAGGAAAAUUAUGUUGCAGACAAGAAUAAGUCCCCUCGAAAUACUGUAUUGUUUUGUUUGUGUGUCUAAUUCUUGAGCCCCAUCCUGCAAAGCUGAUGGUCCUCCAUGGCCUGGCUAUAGUCCACAAGGGGAUUUAUAAGGGAAUUUUGCCUCCCUCAUGAGCUACAACGAAGUAACGGCAAAUGAACCUACUUAGAUUAAAGAUGUCACUGACUGAAAUGUUCUAAUCAACAGAACCUUGCAAUUAUCCUCUCUCAGCAGAGAGGGGAACUUGAUGACAUCAUUGUUUUUUCCCUGUGAAAACGCUUAGUUGGAAAAAGACAAAAAAAGAUUCAAUGAAUCACAUGCAACAUCCCACUUGGAAUCUUUGAAUAAUCCCAAAGAGUGCCAUUCACUGCAACAAUCAAAAUGUAAGCCAAGAGAGUUCUGCAGCAUUGCUUUUUGCCCACUGGCCUUCAUCUGCAGAAGAUACAUCGGUGAGGUAAUAGUGGUCUUUCUAAUGCAAAAGAGUGAGGGACGAUUUGUUGAGCCACAUUCCCUGAAGAAAGAAGGCUUAUGUGCACAGAUUCUGUCUGGCCCAACAGCCAGCACUAGAACAUGGAAUCCCAUUGGGCAAUUCACUUCAGUAUGAAAAAGAGAAGACUCCAGUUUUCUGUCAGGACUGUCAGCUGAAGGGCUGAGCCUAACAGCUGUUCUGUGUAAGAGUUUGAACUCAACUAGCCGUAUUACUGGAAGAGGAGAAUGUGCCAAAAGGUGUUUUGCUCAAUGAAAAAGUGCAGUAAAUUUGAGCCGUAUCAGGUCUGUGCCGCUGGAGAAAUAUGCUUUCCUUUUUUAAAGUGUAUGGAAUCCUACAACUUCCUUUCUGUUUCUUGGUUUUCUUAACAUAACAGUGGCAGCAGCAUUGGCUUCUGUAGAAUGUCAAUAGAAGUUAUGCUUCAGAUCCAGAUGUGCAGAGGAAGAAGACUUUCCUUCCACAGCUCUGUGGGUCCUUCUAGCUGUUACAUACCGACCUGUCACAGAGGGGGUUCUGUGAGUCCUCCCUAAUUCAUAUUAAGCACAAUUGGGCAGAUUUUAUUAAGCAGUUUAAAAUCCUGUUCUGACAUACGGCAUCUGGUUUUGCAUCACUUGAAUUAGCAAUGCUCCCACAAGCUCUUCUCUUAGCACAUCUGAAGAGUGUUAACCCUAUCCACUGGCACUGCUAGAUGGAAAAGAAAUCAUCUGUAUGUGACCUGAAGCCCUGUUGCCAAUGCACAGGCAUAUAGCAUUGUGGACGUGGCUACAGCCUGUACAGAAGAGAAUAUAAUUCUAUUUGGAGGGCUUGACUAUUCAAGCUCUGUGAACAGGAAGAAAAGGGCUGACUCAUAUAACAAGCCAACGUCAAUGAGCAGAAUCACAUUUUAAAUGAGGUCACUUAAACAAGUGGUUUCUUAUACUGAGAAAAAUUACAGGUAGAUUGAAAUGGUGUGUUUAAAGUACUGCUUGGUGGUUGGGGGCACUAAGGAAUCUAUUCCAAGUGUGGAAAAAAGCCUUCACCACAUAUGCACUGGAGGUCUUAAGAAGAAGGGAUAGUUGGAGUGUAAGGGAUAAUCUUGAGCUGUGAAUGGCAUGAGCAAACAUUUAGGGAAGCCUAGCUCUGUAUGGUAGGAAAGUCUCAGGGAGAUGAGCCAGUACAUCUGUGAGCAAUGGAAUCAGCGAAGCCUGGUUUCCAAUGGGUAUGUGUCCCAUUCUGGGCUCUUUCACAUCUAAUCCGGUGCAAGAUGUGAUCCAAGCUUUUCCCGUGGCCUGGAUGGUCUUUGUGUCUGUCGUAGGACAUCGUCUAGUGAGUAGGGAUUUGGUACAUCUUUUCCCAUGGUUGGAAGUGCUGUUUGGGUCUCUUCUUCCCAGUUGGCUGCCCAUGUCUGCUAAACUUGCAACAAAUUUCUAUCUUGAAUUCUUUACUUUGCUUAGAAAUUUAUUUGAAAAGCACACAUUGGAUUCAAAAGUUAUUUAAAGGGGAAGUGAAAACAGGAGAAUAUGCACUCAUACACCAAAUGCAACGGCAUAGGCCUUUUGCCUUAAGAAAUUGAAACGUUAGAAGAAGGUAUUUCUGCCUACAGAUAUGGUGGUUUCCAGCACUGGUGGUGAUGUCACUUCAGAUGAGGGGGAGAUGGGGAGAGGAGAGGGUUUGGAAUAGAAGGGGUGAAUGGAAGCAUCACUAAAACCUGCUUUCGCUCUGUGACCUUUGAAGUUGUUCCGUGCAGAGCUGGCAUACAAUAUUUCAACACUGUACUCUUGUGGUAGGUUCAUUUGUCAAUUUUUAUUUAUUUAUUUAUUUAUUUAUUUAUUUAUUUCAACUUAGUUAUUUACUGGGUGAGAAAAUGUAUAGUUAAAACCCAGAUUUAGUCUAAAUGUAUGUACAGAUUAACUUUUUUUAAUUGACUGUUUGUUAGGCUGGCAUUACUGGUAUGAUUUGUUUUGUUUAACCUGUUUGUCAUUCCAAAGUAAUAUAUAUUUUCUUUUCUAAGAGGAAUUUGCACUGGUAUGUAUGGGAACACAAAAUCCAAUACAAGUCUAUGAAACAAUCUACCCAAACGUGUAUCUAAAUCCAUUUGAAUAGGCACAUUUUGUGACCUGGAGAGAUUUUCUGUAGUUCCUAUCAACAUUUUUAUCAAAUCUUCAUUCCAGUAGGUCGGAACUCCGUUGUUACGCUGAUGCUAUGGCUAGCUUGAGAAAUAACCUUCCUUUUAUUUGAGAACCCGUAGCUGAAACGUGUGGUAGAGCUAGUCUGCUCUUUUGUCUAAGGAAGAAAAGAAAUGCCCAAUGGAAAUAGAAAGGGGAAAACUAUUGGAAGAGCUGUUAAAAACAAACAGCUGUAUGUUUUCCCCCUCUACCUUUGAAAAAUUCAAUUAGUUCCAAGCAUGGAUUUAAUCUGACGAAGUUAAUGUCUAUUCAUUUCUUUGAUAUCAUUUCUUACAUCAUUCUGUGAAAUAGAUUUCCGCGUUCAGUUCAUUAUCCAAUCAUUACUUUUCUGAUUCAAAUAACCAGUCAGCCUGCAGGGUACAAGCCCUGCUUUCAACAGUUGAAGUUGAUCAUAUUGGCCAAUACUGAGGUAGACAGACUGGGAUUCCCCUCUUUAAGGAAUUCAGGACAUCGUGAAAGCCACAAAGCGACUCCUUCACAACACUGAUACAGAUGGCAUGACUGGUGUGUUCAGCUGACUCUUGUCUGAGAGUGUUUGCAGGGUUGUAAACCAGCAGUAUCCUCCCUGUUUGGUCUGUGUUUGCACUGGCUUAGCCAACAUCAGAAUCUGCUCCAGGGAUAACAAAGGUAGCAGAGGUGGGGUUCUUUGGGGCUUGUUAGGCCGCUUUCCUGUAUUGGAUGUAGUGUUUGUUAGCAGAUUAGAACUGAACCUUGGGUAUCAUAAAUGAGUUGGCCGUGAGCCCCUGUGGGCAAGAAGUCCAGUGGUAUCCUGGGGUGCAUGAAAAAGAGAGCAGUCAGGCUCUUCUUGGUGGUGUGUAGCAAUAGAACAAGGAGUAAUGGCCUAAAACUUGAACGUAGGAAGUUCUGCACAAACAUGUGGAAGAACUUCCUUGUGGUAAGGAUGACAGAGCACUGGAACAGGCUGCCCGGAGAGGCUGUGGAGUCUCUUUCUAUGGAGAUAUACAAGACCUAUCUGUUCGCCAACCUGUGUGACCUAUUGUAGGGGACCUGCCUCAGCAGGGGGUUGGACUCAAUGAUCUCCUGAGGUCUGUUCCAACCCCUGUGAUUCUCCUUUAUGAGGGCUCAUGUUUUUUAAUUUAAUAAAUAUGAAAUAUUGUUCCUUGUUCGAAAGCUCACCUGUCAGGUUACACUCUUGUAAUUCCACUGCUUUAUAAUUGCAGUAUUCUUUCAGUAAGGUUCUUCUAUAUAAAAACAAGCUUGGGAAGAAAAGAGAAUAUCAUUUGAAGCCUCCUUUAAAUAUCCUGAGGAUUAAAUGUCCCUUUUGUGUUUAUAGUAACACUUUCUAUAGCGUGUGAAUGAGUAUUUUGGGGUAUUUGUUCUCAGCGCAGUGAAUGAACAAAAUGGUCCUCUUGAUUCUGUGAACAGAAGAAGUCUUUUUUUGUGUGUAACCUUGGCAGCAGACGUAAGUAUGCUCAUGGAUGAAGGAAAGACAAAUGAUUAUGGAAGCUAGAGACUGGGAGAGGACUUAGGAGAUAUAUCACAACGUGUUUAUUCUGCCCUUAACAUUCUUCCCUCUAUGCUAAGUAUAUUAGAAGCGUUGUCUGGAUCGUGGAAAACAAGGUUUAUUCACAAAAGCCACACAGUGUGUGAUCCUGGUGCCCCAGAGCACAGACCACAUCCACAUCAGUCAGUGUUCUUCUUACCACGCUCAGUGUAAGUCCCAGCAUCUCAGAUCACCUUUUCCAGUAACGCUUUUGGCAUUCCUUGUGUCUCCCUGUAGAUCAAGCCAAAAGUAAGCUUUACACCACUACAGCAAGCCAAGCAAGGGACUGACAGCUUAGCAAUGCCUUGAACGUCGUCACAUGCAACUUGCAGUGGCAAAGUGGUACUUAACAACUCUAUUUUCAUAGUACCUUGCUGCGUCUCUGUGGGUCAUUCAUAUCUAAUAAAAUAUACACACUGUUGGAGAUGGGAUUCUGAGCUCAGCAGCCUUUCAGUGUGACCAACUACACUGUUCAUAUGUAGAUGUAACAGUUAUUUUAGGUGAGUCCGUUCUGCAAUGUAGACACUGGCUAGUCCAUUAUUGUGAAGGAAACGGAAUGGACAGAGCAUUUAAUUGAUUAAUUACCCUAUGUUCAAAAUGCAGUCAGAUCAGGGUGAGAAUGAAGCCAGUAGGGAAAAAUGAUGGCUCUUUCAAAAAGUAUAAAGAAUAUUGUCAGUUUAACAUAGUAAGUGCUGCUUAAGAGUAUUUCCCAGAUCACAGUAGAGAUUUUUACUCUUUGCUCUCAUGCCCUGAAAUAUAACCUCAUCGUUCUGACCAAUAUGUGGCAGUCAUUUAGCAAUACGUCUGCUUGGGGAUGUUACUGGGGCUGUUAACAAAGUUAGCAAAAAGCUUGUCAUUUAACUUCUUGAAGCCAGGCUAAAGAUUUAGUGCCAAUGCAGGGGACAUCUGCUUUUUUUCUGGUCAAAAUGAAUAGACUGAAUUACAGAGACAAUAAAGAUGGAGUCUCAUGAUGCUAUUGUACACUGCUUUGCUUUUCAUUUUGAAGAGAACUCACAAGUAAUGGACAAAAUCAAAUGAAUCACCCCCUAUAUUUCAGCCAUCUUGUCUCAGCAAAUGGGCAGCAGUCAACAAGGAGAAGCAGGAACUUCAGAAAAUGAUUUGUUCUAUUUAUUUUAGAUACCCAUUUCAGGAUAGAGGAACUCAUCCCUCAGAAGGAGGAAGGCAUACAUACUGUCUCGUAUGUGCAGCUGUCUUGCUUAGCUUCUAAAUGAAUUCUACUCUAACUAGCCUACCUAACCUGUUUUUGCUACUGGAAUCAGAUGGAAAUACAGUCAGUAUUUGCAAAUGCAAAGCUCCACAGAAAUAGAAUGUAUCAUUCUAUAUUUCACCCUGCUUCACAGAGAGCCAGGGAAGGCUUUUUUUCAUCUACCCACUGAGAACAAAGUGCUGAUUUGGCUCUAUGGUUCUUGGAAACUGUCUUUGCUCUGCUAUUUCCUGUUACAUUCUCAAGCUGCGUAUUUUAGAUGUGAAUGAGGACCAACCCCCCAUCUCUUUUUGCUUGUAGCAGUAUGACAUGAUGCCUUGGACAGAUGUAGAUGGGUGUUUCUUGCCAGUAAAAAAAAAAAAAAAAAAGAAGUGGAAAAUGAAAGCACGGCAGAAAGUUUAGUUCUGGGGGUUCACUCCUCACUGUGUAUGGUAAACCAUGGCAACACCUUCAGUAGUGCUGACCUUGCCUGACAUGCUCUGCAGAGGCUGCACACCAAUUCCCAUCCCCUGGGAAGACCUUUGACGCUUUGCAGGAUUGUUAUUUGUUUCAUCCUCAGACACACGUUACACUGGCAGACCAAGGCAGCGAGUGCUUGCUUUGGUAGCAUUGGCAGGGGCUCUGAGCAUCUCCUUUCACAGCUCUGUGCUGCAGCCUGACAUCGUGAAGCUGCCUGCAGGCCAGGCAGACAUUUCCAAACAGCAUUCCUGGCAGCACAAACAGACAAUUAAAUUUAAAGACGAGGCAUUGCCACCAUUCAUUUGAAUGACUGUGGUGCUUCAGCAUAUUGCUAGUGUUUGUUGACAUAUGUAAUUUAUAGAAUUUGGUUUGUGUGUGGUGGGAAGAGGAAAUAUAUCAGUGCGGUGAUCUGACACCUCGUCUACGUUGGUGGCCUUAUUUCAUACCUUUUUGCAUGCCAAAUGGAAUGAAGUGCUCUCAGAAUCUGUAGAUGACCUGGCAGGAGCUGAAUGAGUGUCCUUAAAACCAUUUGUACUGUUGUACCUUUGUGUUUUCUGUUUUGUGACCUUGGCAGACCAGUGAUUGGGAAAGCUGCUCACACACCAUCUGCACCUGCUACUUUUGCCGUGCAGCAAGUGGUCAUUUCCUUUCCAAACAUGACUGGCUUCUGAUAGCAGUGGGAAAUUGGCAGCUCUUGUAUGAAAGCAGUAGAUUCCAGUUUCUUCUUUCGGCUUUUCACUGAGAUAGAACAGGAGUUGUUAUGGUUAUGUCCCCAGUGCUCUGUGUCACAGCUUUCUUUUCUACAUAACUGCCUUUUCAAUCAUUAAGUACAAUCAGUAUAUGGAAUCACAUCUUGUAUUGUAUAAUACCAUAUUACCCUGAGAUCUUUUUUUUUUUCCAGUAUCAUCUUAAUUCUAAACAGAGAUGCACAACCGACAGUGAAAAUGUUUCCCUUUUGUCUCGUGGCCUUUCUUUCUCAUUUCCAUGAGAAGAAGAGAGUGCAGAAUAAAGUUGCUCUCUUGACUUCCGUGGUCUGGCUAAAGAAACAACAUAGCAGGAGUGAGCUGUGCUUUUCUCCUUAUUUCUCUGGCACAUUGAAAAGAUGAGGUGUAGGAGUGUUCAUUGCUCUUCUAAUUCUCUCCUCCAGAGGGGAUGGAAGCUGUUGCAAUUCUUCCUUAUGAGGGUCCUUAAAAUCAGCAGGUAAGGAAGUACUGUGUUGAGCAGCACGCAGGCAAUCCCCCCAUCUCCAGCCUCAAGGAUCACCCCUGCAGAGAGCUGGGAAGGAGCUGUGCAGCUGGCAGAGAGCGCCAGGAGGUGGUGAAUUUAGUUUCUACUCUUAACAGCAUGAAACAGCUGCAUUGGCUUUACGUGUGGUUCGAAGAUUUGCCCUCUCUGAAAGUUAGGGCAAGUUGUUUGUGGCAUACAGUGUGCGCCUUAACAAAUGUGCAGUCUUUUUCUUCCUGUCAGCAACUGGAGAUGGUGAUAGGAUCACAUGUUUUUGCCCACGCUUUCAUGUAGCCUUGUUAAUGAAACAGGUAAUCCUGUUUGUCUUAAAAUCAAGGCAAACAUCUCUCAUGUUCUGUCCAUCUGUUCCAGACACUAACAGCACGCUCAUCACCAUGGUAUUGGAACAGUCUGGUACACAAAUAGCAAUCAGCAGCUAUUAGCAUAAUAUUAUUACUAGAUCCAUAAAGCUAAUAUUGGCAGAGAUAGGAGGUGUCGCACGUUGUGAGCUAGUUUCUCAGCACAUGUACCGUGUUCUGCCAGAAUGUGAUAAUAUUCUGUAUAAAAAUCAGUAGAAGGAUGCAAUUUUUAAUUAUUUCAUGCAAGCAGCAUAAAUUGUCCAUAUAAUACAAGUCAAUGAUUUCUUCUUGCAUUCAGUAAUUGGCAAUCCAUUGCUGUCUCGUAGUAAAACAGCAUUCUUUAGAAAGCUAAGUGUAUAAACAGGAGGGGGGGAACGGCUGUUUGUGAGGGUGGAUAGUGAUAGGACAAGGGGGAAUGGCUUUAAACUGAGACAGGGGAGGUUUAGCUUGGAUAUUAGGAGGAAGGUUUUCACCCAGAGGGUGGUGACGCACUGAACGGGUUGCCCAAGGAGGCUGUGGAUGCCCCAUCCUUGCAGACAUUCAAGGCCAGGCUGGAUGUGGCUCUGGGCAGCCUGGUCUGCUGGUUGGCGACCCUGCACAUAGCAGGGGGGUUGGAACUCAGUGAUCACUGUGGCCCUUUUCAACCCAGGCCAUUCUAUGAUUCUAUGAUAUUAAAUCAAACACUGAAAACUCCUUUUUUCCAUCCUCCUACCCCCCGGUCAUUGAUGCAGGCUGAUACAGGAGCGAAUCUUUGCAUGCAGGAGGUCACUCAUCCCAAAUGUCCAGCACAUGAGACAAGGUGUACUCAGCAUGAGAUCUUCUGGAGUACUGCUGGAGAGGUGGCACAUCACUGCAGCUUGCCAGAUAACUGUCACGCUGUGUCUGCACACACUCCCAGUGCUUUCUGAAAGGAGUGAAAAUUGCUUUCUGCUUUGCCGGCCCACAGAAAGAACACAGAUCUUUCAGAUCCAACAUUUUCAGACCUCAGACCUCAAACCUUUCAGAUUACAAGGGAAGCAGAUUGCAGAUCCCUCCAAAAGAUCCCGACUGCCCCAUAAAACGCAGCCAUUCUCUUCCUGUCCUUACACCCCUUCACUAAUCUAAUUUACACACAUUCAGAAGCCCAGCUUCAGAUGUGUCCUUUUCAUUUGGUCUCUUUUCCUAUGAUGUAAUAUAAGAUUUAUUUUGGAGUUGAACAGCCACACUUUUUCAAUCUCUGGUAUAUAAAUUGCUAGUUAAAAGAAGUGGAUUCCUCUCAGGUGGCAGAUUUUUGCAGGUCUGCUUCAAUGAAUGGCUCGUGUAUAUGUGUGUAUAUAUAUAUGUAUGUUUCUUUCCUCUCUUAGUCAGAAUUUGUUCCUGGGAGACCUAUUUUGCAAGCUUGUCUGCUGAAACUUCUGUAGAGAAGAAAGCAGACGGAGCCUUUUCAGAUUGCAGCUUCCCAGUUGCUGUGUUGAAAGCAUGAAGCAAAAGUGAAACCGAGGUAUUACAGUUCUUAGUUCUCAUAAACGGCUUUUCCUUGCUUUGCUCUGCAGCAAAUUCCAGCUGAGCUAACAUUUCUGUUAGCAUGACAAUGCCCAUACGUGCACUGCUGUAAUGAGAGGGAGCAUCUGUGUCUGAGCUGGUUGUGAUUGUGUUGAAAAGAGACAGAUUGUCAUCGUGUGUCAGUCCUUACUCUUCCACUGAACAUGAAACUUCCUUGGUCGUGCUGUUGGUUCAGUCUCCAGUCUCCAUUUUCAUAUCA